Molecule: ribosomal RNA, 121 nt
Filed under: Petromyzon marinus (sea lamprey)
Lineage: Eukaryota; Metazoa; Chordata; Hyperoartia; Petromyzontiformes; Petromyzontidae
Source: RNAcentral
GCCUAGGACCAAAUCACUCGGAAAUGCGCCUGAUCUCAUCACAUCUCCAGAGUUUAAGCAGGGUUGAGCCUGAAUAGUGCUUAGAUGGGUGACCGCCAUACACGGCACGUUGUUGUGUUUU